This 496-nucleotide ribosomal RNA is filed under the name uncultured bacterium. RNAcentral's name for it is "partial 16S ribosomal RNA". It matches the Rfam family "Bacterial small subunit ribosomal RNA", at positions 28 to 506 of the family's 1533-position model. The record is from RNAcentral.
GAUGAACGCUGGCGGCGUGCCUAAUACAUGCAAGUCGAGCGAACAGACGAGGAGCUUGCUCCUCUGACGUUAGCGGCGGACGGGUGAGUAACACGUGGAUAACCUACCUAUAAGACUGGGAUAACUUCGGGAAACCGGAGCUAAUACCGGAUAAUAUAUUGAACCGCAUGGUUCAAUAGUGAAAGACGGUUUUGCUGUCACUUAUAGAUGGAUCCGCGCCGCAUUAGCUAGUUGGUAAGGUAACGGCUUACCAAGGCAACGAUGCGUAGCCGACCUGAGAGGGUGAUCGGCCACACUGGAACUGAGACACGGUCCCGACUCCUACGGGAGGCAGCAGUAGGGAAUCUUCCGCAAUGGGCGAAAGCCUGACGGAGCAACGCCGCGUGAGUGAUGAAGGUCUUCGGAUCGUAAAACUCUGUUAUUAGGGAAGAACAAAUGUGUAAGUAACUAUGCACGUCUUGACGGUACCUAAUCAGAAAGCCACGGCUAACUACGU